GCGUGGCAAUCACCACCAGGCACAGGUUGAUCAUGAAGAAGGAGCCCACCUGUGACGGGGGCGGGCGGAUCUGGCCUUGAGAUGACCCUCUCAACGGUGGCCACUCUCCCCUCCCCAGCACCCCAGGUCCCCGCAGGGUGGCUCUAGGUAUACCUAGGACCCCACAGACGUCUGCGGCCUGAUUAACCCAACUCUGCCAGGACCCACUGGGGCCUAUGAGAGGACCAGCUAAGGAGCACACCUGGGGCCACACACGCCCGUGGAAAGCGGUGCUGGGAGGCUAUGCACUCCCCAGGGUGUUCCUGGCUCUUCAGCCCUGAGCCAGCACCCACAGGCCUGGACCCUGUCUAGGUGAUGCCAUGGCCUCUUGGGGUCCCCAGCCACACCUCCCCACCCCCGCAAGCUCUGCCUCCCUCCCCUGUGUGCUCCCUUCAGCUGGAAGACAGACAGGAGCCCCUAUGACCACCCAGGUACCCCACCCCACCCCCAGCCAGCUAACACCAGGGCCCAUCAUGGCGAACACUG
This 525-nucleotide long non-coding RNA is filed under the name Homo sapiens (human). RNAcentral's name for it is "HSALNT0383998". The record is from RNAcentral. Lineage: Eukaryota; Metazoa; Chordata; Mammalia; Primates; Hominidae.